GUAAGUCACAUUCAACAUCCCGAAUGGAUUGAAGCCAUCUGAUGCAAGUCCCAGCCUAACAUUACGUGGAUCCAAUGCAAAUUCAUCCUUAUACUUCUCAUCUACGUGCUUCCAUGCCUUCGAGUUAGCUGGGUGCCUCACUUUCCCAUCUUGAACCAAUUCUUCCUUGUGCCAAUACAUAUACUUGGAUGUGGUCUCAUUCUUAUAUAAUCUUUGCAAUUGAGUAAUAAGUGGAAAAUACCUUAGUAUUUUACGAGGAAAGAGCUUCUUCUUGACUCCACCAGUGCCACUACACUCGCCAACAAGCCCCUCUGAAUCUUAAUUCUUCCACCUACUCUCCCCA
Molecule: long non-coding RNA, 343 nt
Filed under: Setaria viridis
Lineage: Eukaryota; Viridiplantae; Streptophyta; Magnoliopsida; Poales; Poaceae
Description: long non-coding RNA (SVIR_LNC009727)
Source: RNAcentral